This 281-nucleotide ribosomal RNA is filed under the name uncultured Staphylococcus sp. Its description in RNAcentral is "partial 16S ribosomal RNA". It matches the Rfam family "Bacterial small subunit ribosomal RNA", at positions 81 to 354 of the family's 1533-position model. The record is from RNAcentral. Lineage: Bacteria; Bacillati; Bacillota; Bacilli; Caryophanales; Staphylococcaceae.
CUCCUUUGACGUUAGCGGCGGACGGGUGAGUAACACGUGGGUAACCUACCUAUAAGACUGGGAUAACUUCGGGAAACCGGAGCUAAUACCGGAUAAUAUUUCGAACCGCAUGGUUCGAUAGUGAAAGGUGGUUUUGCUAUCACUUAUAGAUGGACCCGCGCCGUAUUAGCUAGUUGGUAAGGUAACGGCUUACCAAGGCGACGAUACGUAGCCGACCUGAGAGGGUGAUCGGCCACACUGUAACUGAGACACGGUCCAGACUCCUACGGGAGGCAGCAGGU